Long non-coding RNA from Dermochelys coriacea (leatherback sea turtle), 213 nucleotides. RefSeq lists it as uncharacterized. The record is from RefSeq and is a predicted model, not a curated record. The transcript is spliced from 3 exons. NCBI's taxonomy places the organism in Eukaryota, Metazoa, Chordata, Testudines, Dermochelyidae.
UUUGGUUGGAGGAUGCCAGUGGUAUAUGGGGGGGGGGAGAAAGAUAACUUCAAUGUCAUUAUGCACAAACUGGAGUGCUGCAGGGUGGUCAGGAGCAUUGUCUACAAUCAGCAACACUUUAAAGUCAAGUCCUUUCUCUUCGAGGUACUGCUUGACUUCCGGAAUGAAACACUUGUGGAAUCAAUCCAGAAAUAAUGCUGCUAUCACCCAAGC